GCGUUGUUCGGAAUUACUGGGCGUAAGGGGCUCGUAGGCGGCCAACUCAGUCGGAUGUGAAAUCCCCAGGCUCAACUUGGGAACUGCAUCCGAUACUGGAUGGCUUGAAUUCGGGAGAGGGAUGCAGAAUUCCAGGUGUAGCGGUGAAAUGCGUAGAUAUCUGGAGGAAUACCGGUGGCGAAGGCGGCAUCCUGGACCGACAUUGACGCUGAGGAGCGAAAGCUAGGGGAGCAAACGGG
This 239-nucleotide ribosomal RNA is filed under the name uncultured bacterium. Its description in RNAcentral is "partial 16S ribosomal RNA". It matches the Rfam family "Bacterial small subunit ribosomal RNA", at positions 538 to 776 of the family's 1533-position model. The record is from RNAcentral.